Molecule: unclassified non-coding RNA, 411 nt
Filed under: Hevea brasiliensis (rubber tree)
Lineage: Eukaryota; Viridiplantae; Streptophyta; Magnoliopsida; Malpighiales; Euphorbiaceae
Source: RNAcentral
GCACAUAGUCAGGUUAAGAGUCGAUAACGAGAGUUGUCCCUUCACCAGCUGGAUAAGUUCUUCAGCCUUCACAGAAGCGUUGUUAUCCAGUUGUUAUUACCAACUUGAUAUCUCUGGUCAAAGAAGCAAAUCUUAAGGUCUUAUAACUGGCAUAUGAAACUUAAUUGACAAUCUUCCUGGUCUUGGUUGAGUUGGUGAUAUUAAAUGGUGUCAUUUUCUUGACAUGGAGGUAACCAAUUUUCAAUUGCAGACAAAUUUCAAUUCAAGAAAGCUCAAACAAUUUUUCCUUCAAAUAAGUACGAAAAGCAAAGUCUAAAAGGGAUUAGAAUGGGAGAAAUUAUGGACAAGGAAUAGUGAUUUGAUGUCAACAGGAAACAGAUAUUCCCUUUGCGCAAUGCAAAGCUCAUCAUG